RNAcentral lists this ribosomal RNA (520 nucleotides) under uncultured Glomus. RNAcentral describes it as "SSU rRNA". It matches the Rfam family "Eukaryotic small subunit ribosomal RNA", at positions 569 to 1087 of the family's 1831-position model. The record is from RNAcentral. Lineage: Eukaryota; Fungi; Glomeromycota; Glomeromycetes; Glomerales; Glomeraceae.
AGCAGCCGCGGUAAUUCCAGCUCCAAUAGCGUAUAUUAAAGUUGUUGCAGUUAAAAAGCUCGUAGUUGAAUUUCGGGAUCAAUAUGUCUGUCGUGCCUUUGGUACGUACGGGUAUAAUUGGUUUCUACCUUCUGAUGAACCUUGAUGCCAUUAAUUUGGUGUCUUGGGGACUCAGGACUGUUACCUUGAAAAAAUUAGAGUGUUUAAAGCAGGCAUACGCUUGAAUACAUUAGCAUGGAAUAAUGAAAAUAGGACGUUCGAUUCUAUUUUGUUGGUUUCUAGGAUCGACAUAAUGAUUAAUAGGGAUAGUUGGGGGCAUUAGUAUUCAAUUGUCAGAGGUGAAAUUCUUGGAUUUAUUGAAGACUAACUACUGCGAAAGCAUUUGCCAAGGAUGUUUUCAUUAAUCAAGAACGAAAGUUAGGGGAUCGAAGACGAUCAGAUACCGUCGUAGUCUUAACCAUAAACUAUGCCGACUAGGGAUCGGAUGAUGUUAAUUUUUAAUGUACUCAUUCGGCGUACC